GUGCUUGCUUCAGCAGCACAUACACUAAGAUUGGAACAAUACAGAGAUUAGCGUGGCCUCUGCGCAACUAUGGUAUGCAAAUUCGUGAAGCGGUCCAUAUUUAA
Small nuclear RNA from Mesoplodon densirostris (Blainville's beaked whale), 104 nucleotides. Lineage: Eukaryota; Metazoa; Chordata; Mammalia; Artiodactyla; Ziphiidae. The record is from RefSeq and is a predicted model, not a curated record.